AUCUAUGAAUGCAAUAUACCAAAAUCUUUAAACGUGCAAUAACCUAUCUACAAGGGUAGGUUCUAAAAGAAGGUCAUGCCAGACCUCUUAUUUCCUAACGUUUGUGAAUGCAAAGGCAAAAGACAAGGAAAGUUAGUUCAACACAUAACACGUUGGACAAUUAAAGGAUAUAAAAAGCAGGAAACAUAAAUAAGGAAAAAGGGUGGGAUCCCUCCCCUCGUGAAAGGUGUUCCUAAUAGGGUAAGGCAGACUCUACCCUAGGUGAAACUAUAUGGAUGCAUGAGGUUGGGGUUCGCUAAUGCAUCUAUACUCAAUAAGCUCAGGCCCCCAAGCCUUCAGACUCGUGGCCAAGGGUCAUCACUCCCAAGGCCCUUUGUCGGUGGCUCGAGC
Molecule: long non-coding RNA, 390 nt
Filed under: Coffea arabica (coffee)
Lineage: Eukaryota; Viridiplantae; Streptophyta; Magnoliopsida; Gentianales; Rubiaceae
Description: long non-coding RNA (CARA_LNC007422)
Source: RNAcentral